This is a long non-coding RNA of Gambusia affinis (western mosquitofish), 474 nucleotides long. RefSeq lists it as uncharacterized. The record is from RefSeq and is a predicted model, not a curated record. The transcript has 3 exons. NCBI's taxonomy places the organism in Eukaryota, Metazoa, Chordata, Actinopteri, Cyprinodontiformes, Poeciliidae.
UUUCAGGUCCCAGCAUGUCAGAUCUGCAGAAGAAAAAUGUAGUUUUUAUUGUGUUAUGUGCCAUUUUGACUGCAAGUGUGAUUAUUAUAUUCGUUCUCAGUUACAUCCUUAUGAAGAAAACUUGUCACUGUUCAAAUGAUGAUAAAGGGGGUCAUGAUGAUCAGCAAAUUCAGCAGAGAGACGAGGACUCGCUGGUUUACACUGGUCCCACAUUCACCAAAAGGAAAGCUGCCCGAAUAGAGAGAAGAAACAAAGAAACAUCAGAGGUUGUCUACAGUGGUGUCAAUGGAUUAGUAUUUGAUUAAUAUCUUCAUAAAUCUGGUUGCUACUGGAUUUUUAUUUUAUUUUUUUCUUCAAUUCUUUGAAAAAGUAUUUAACCAGGUUAUAUUUUGGCUGGUUAAAUACUCCAUUUACAGUGGUGAAAACCUUAAGUCUUGUUAAAACACCUGUUUUUAUUUUUUUAUUUUGUUUUCA